RNAcentral lists this long non-coding RNA (218 nucleotides) under Monodelphis domestica (gray short-tailed opossum). RNAcentral describes it as "lncRNA (ENSMODG00000044887.1)". The record is from RNAcentral. Lineage: Eukaryota; Metazoa; Chordata; Mammalia; Didelphimorphia; Didelphidae.
AGCUCUGAGCAGUGGUCUGCCAGUCCAGUCACACAGAUAGCCAGUGAAGAUCAAAGAGCCAGAUCUGGGAGGAGCUUGGAGAUCAUUAGUCCUGACUUUACAGAGAGGAUUUGCAUUUUACUCACCCAGGGUCACACGAGCAUCAAAGGUGAGAUGGUCCCUGUAUGCUUCCCACUGGGCCAUGAUUCUUCUGACUUCUCACCAUACUUCCUGUGCCU